Molecule: long non-coding RNA, 364 nt
Organism: Synchiropus splendidus (mandarinfish)
Lineage: Eukaryota; Metazoa; Chordata; Actinopteri; Syngnathiformes; Callionymidae
Exons: 3
Source: RefSeq, a predicted model, not a curated record
CUCGGGCUGGUGAAGAUUCUCUGUCUUUCGACUUGGAAAUCUUCGUGUGACAUCAGUUAUGAGCACAACUGUCGCUGUUGAUAAAUGUGAGCUAAUCGCUGGCGUCGGACUUUGCAGCUCCACUCAUCGAUCACACCUCGUGUUGCUGAGUGGAGAGGAAACGGUUUCAUCAUGGACUCUUCAAACUUGAAUUGACCUGAAUGCUUUUGGUUCCCACUGAAUGAUCCUGCUUAUUCACAACUACGCAGUAGGGUUACACUGGCGUCCUUUAAAUAAAAGCCCACCCCACAUAGCGCCACGCUCCCUUCUUGCCCCAAAGCAAAGGUGAGAUUUGCAAAGAAAAGGUGAGACGCUCUCCAUUUUG